CAGUAGCCGCGGGAAUACAGAGGGUGCGAGCGUUAAUCGGAUUUACUGGGCGUAAAGCGUGCGUAGGCGGCUUUUUAAGUCGGAUGUGAAAUCCCCGGGCUUAACCUGGGAACUGCAUUUGAAACUGUCAGGCUGGAGUCUUGUAGAGGGGGGUAGAAUUCCAGGUGUAGCGGUGAAAUGCGUAGAGAUCUGGAGGAAUACCGGUGGCGAAGGCGGCCCCCUGGACAAAGACUGACGCUCAGGUGCGAAAGCGUGGGGAGCAAACAGGAUUAGAUACCCCUGUAGUCCCUGUCUCUUAUAC
This 301-nucleotide ribosomal RNA is filed under the name uncultured bacterium. Its description in RNAcentral is "partial 16S ribosomal RNA". It matches the Rfam family "Bacterial small subunit ribosomal RNA", at positions 509 to 807 of the family's 1533-position model. The record is from RNAcentral.